Molecule: unclassified non-coding RNA, 2130 nt
Filed under: Mizuhopecten yessoensis (Yesso scallop)
Lineage: Eukaryota; Metazoa; Mollusca; Bivalvia; Pectinida; Pectinidae
Description: phosphatidylinositol glycan anchor biosynthesis class U protein-like, transcript variant X1
Source: RNAcentral
UCAUGACGUUUGAAUUAUUGAUGGACCGGCGUGUAUUGAUUGUGCGUUUGGAAACCUUGACGCGGAAACAAGAAUGGCGGCUUUGCAAACUUUGGUUUGCGUUAUAGCAGGAGUAAUCUUUCGACUGUGGCUUUACAGAUCGUUUCUUCCAGAAUGGCUUUCCACGAGAGCUGAAAUUGUGACUCCAACGACAUCAUGGGAGAGAGCGAUGGAAGGCCUGUCUUUGAAGCAGAGUUUCAUCUCUCCUUAUUCCGGAGACCUUUUUCACGAGACCCCUUUGAUGCUGAGGAUCUUGGGCUUUAUGAACAAGUUUUCACAAAAUAGUAUAAAUUUAAUGUUUGUGGGUCUUGAUUUGGUGUGUGCUAUUUUGCUGCUGAAAAUCUCAAAAAUGUUUGGAGGAUAUUUGCUGGUGCAUCAGGCCCGCAGUGUCAAGAACUACGCCACUGAUAUUGAUAGCCUGAUCCUGCGCAGUGAGGACCUACACUCUGUCCAAUUUUUGGUCACUAUAGCACACGCUUUCAAUCCAUACUGUAUAGCAGCCUGCCUCGCUAGGUCUACCGCCAUUUUCAACAACCUGGCUCUACUGUUUACUAUCUACUACUUGCUGAAGGGUAACAAAAUUAUGUGUGGAUGUUUUUUGGCGAUAGCCUCCUACCUCACCAUGUAUCCCAUCAUCCUCUUGGCUCCAGUGGCCAUUUUCUUUUACCAGCGCUCUUAUCCUACCUGUGUGUCCUACACUGACCCCCGUGCCCUGUCCAGCUACGUCCAGACUAGUGUGAUCACCCUGGUGUGGUUAGCAGCAUUCAUUGGAGCAUCUGCAUUCCUAGAGGAAUCUUGGGAUUUCCUUAACUCAACUUAUGGCUUUACGUUGACUGUGCCAGAUCUGACACCAAACCUGGGUGUUUUCUGGUAUUUCUUUACCGAGAUGUUCGAGCAUUUCCGAACUUUCUUCAUCUGUGUGUUUCAAAUCAAUGUCGUCAUCUACACCUUUCCACUCUCCAUCAAACUCCGAGAACACCCAGUUUUCCUGUUGUACCUGCUGAUAUUUCUUAUCGGUAUAUUUAAAUCAUACCCCAGUUUUGCUGAUGUGGGGCUAUUCCUGUGCUUACUACCCUUAUGGAAACAUGUAUUCUCAUACAUGCGUAAUACGUUUGUUGUGACGUGCAUGUUCGUGUGUACGACUGUGUUUGCGCCGAUUCUCCAUCACCUCUGGUUAUAUGCGGGCAGUGCCAAUGCAAACUUUUACUUUGCCAUAGCUUUGGCAUUCUCAACAGCUGAGAUAUUCCUAGUCACCGACCUUCUAUUUGCAUUCCUGCGACGGGAGUUUGACAUGCAUCAUGGGAAAAAGCACAUCAUGCCCGACGGUGCAGAGGGACAGGUCAUACUGGACUAAAGAGCAACACUUAUCGUCCAGUGCUAUCAUGUUUGUUUAAUAAACUUGGUGAUAGACUUGAGAAAGCUUGUGUGAUAAGGAUGAAGACAAUGAGCUGGAACUCUGAGUGAAAAUAAAUCCUAGAGUUACGUCCCUUGUAAGAAAUAUCUCUGCAACAUUCACUCAUCGCCUGUUGGGCCAGAGUUGUUUAUUUAUGAAAUAGGGACGAACCUUGUGGUCUGAUGUUCGCUUUACGAAAGCCUUGACAAAGAAUUACGAGGUCUUCGUCAACAUUUGCAUGUUUGCCAGGCUGAACUCCUGAAAAUGUUUCAUUUGAACAAAAAGGCCCACACAGUUCUGUCUUUUGAUCAGGUACUUGCAUUGAUGGUUUAAAAAAAACCUAGACCAGAAUUAUUUCAUUUAGAAAUAGUGACACACCUAUUGGUCUUUUGAUGUUUUCAGGUGAGCUUAAGAGAAGAGGAGUUUCAGAUGUUGCAGGCUUUACUUCUGAAAAAUGUAGCAUUCAAAUAUAAAAUAUAAACUUUAUUUAUUUAAAAACAUUAUGAAACAUUUUUUUGAACUUAUAUCAAUCAUUGUUGUCGGCCAGGAUGUUAGCGUGCAGGAAUCUGAAUGUGGGAGGAAUUCAGAGUUCCUGGAGAUAGCCCACAUGGUUGGGCAGAUGACCCCACACCUGUUCACGUGCAGUCGGGGAAUGAAACCCCGCUGCCUUGGUGAUCCUUCUGAAUAAUAAAAACAGA